Molecule: long non-coding RNA, 2059 nt
Organism: Mesoplodon densirostris (Blainville's beaked whale)
Lineage: Eukaryota; Metazoa; Chordata; Mammalia; Artiodactyla; Ziphiidae
Exons: 3
Source: RefSeq, a predicted model, not a curated record
CGCCCCUCUCCCGGCGGCCGGGUUGGACCACCAAGGGAUACCCCAUGAGAAUCUUAGGCGGCGGGGGCUCGGCCCUCAGGUCGAGCAACCCGGCACAAGGGCAGGGCAGCCUGGGACCCCCCACUCUGCCCCAUCCUGCUGCUGGGGACCUGCGGGAGCUGCCUUACCGUUUCACUGAGGAACGUGAACCACCACUGACUUGGAUGACGGCAGCCCCACCUUCUCCUUGAAGCAGGUUGAGUGGAGGCAAGGCCUACGCUGAACCAGUGCAGGAAGAAUUGCAGUGAAAACCCCUCACCCAGGUCAGCUGACCCUCCUUGACUAUAAUGGCUGGCCAUUACCGACUGGAACAGGGAAGAGGAUGUACUCAUCGGUGAGGCCCAGGGAUUUGGCGAAGUGGAUGAAGUUCUCCUUCAGUUGAGGGGUCAGCUCCUUGGUCCUCCCUGUGGCCAGAUGGCCAGCGAGUGGCCGGCAAACACUCCAUAAAUAUUGUUGAAUGCGUGAACAAGGCCUCUGAUCCCUUCCUCAUGGAGGGUCUGCAGAAGGACCUCCCUCCCUGGCCGCCCACAGGGACUGCGAGCUGACACUGAGAGAGGACCUGGGGGGCUGGGUUGGGAUGGGCCUCUCCCCCGACAGUGUGACGCAGAGCCGGGUCCCCGAGGCGGUGGGGCAGACCCACCGUAGAGGGUGGUCUUGAAGUACUCCUGGUUCUUGUAAUCCUUCUUGAAGUACACUAUGGCAAACUGGUUGUAGUUGGUAGUCGCCACUCGCACGGUAUAGCUCUGAACCCCGGGGAAGCCUGUGGGGAGGACGGCGAGGGGUCAGCCUGCCCAGGCUGGGAGGAGGGAGCCGUUCCUUUCUCCCCGGCCCAUCUGCAGGGGCCUCUCCCACAGAACAGCAUCUGUGUGGAGGGGCAGGGAGGUCUGUGCCCCUUCCUGGAGGACCCUGCCCCCCCAGAAGCCCAGCCCCAGGGCCCACCUCAUUCAGGACUCACCCUUAAUAUUGCCCAGGGUGAACUGGCCAGGCCGGGAACUUGGGACAAAAGUUCUGAUCCAGUGGUCACAGCGCUCGUCCCUGUGGGAGGGAGAGAUGGGUGAGUGAGACCAGAGGGGACACAGGCUUGGACUCCUUGGGCUGGACGAGGUGGGGGCCAGGGCCGUAGCUGGAGGGGGUGGGAUUCUGAUGCCCCUGGCCUGGCCCAGCCCAAGACAGUCCAUCCCCACCACAGCAGGUGGUCCCUACCCCACCCAGCUGAGAUGGGCCUGGGUCUUCCCCUCUGAGCCUACCACUGUCUGUCACUGCCUGGUCUGCCCUGGGACAUCUGACCCUGCUCAGACCCUCCCUCCAGCACCCACUGUCCUUUCCUCUUCAGGGCUGUCUCCCCUCGGUGGCCUUCCCUACACACUGUCCCCCUACACCCAACCCCAGGCAUUUAUCCCCUGCUCCUAUCUACCCUCUGCUGCUUCCCUGUCUGUCACCUCUCCUGGGGGAGUCACCCUCCAAGGUUCCAGUCUGCUCCCUGCCAAGGACUCCUCUAGCUCCUGGGCCAACCCUGACCUGAGUCCCACCCUGUCUCCUGGUAUUCCACAGCUGAUCUCCCCAAACCCAUCCUUCUUCUGCUUCUUGCUCCACAGAUGCUCCAGCCUCAAUCCCCCUGGGUGCCAGAGCCAGAAACUCAUAGGGGCUGGGCGAUCCUUGGCACCCUACCAUUUCUCUCUCCGCCACCCCCAGAGGGACCCUGCUCAGACCCACUCCUCACCAGAUCGCUUCUGUGCUGGUGCCUGAGGCCCCUGGCAGUGUGCUAGUGUCUGGGCACAGUUGCCCCCCUGCCAAGCCACUCAGCUGCUGCUCAGGACAGCUGUACGAUGGCUGCUUCCUGAAGGAGUGCUUCUCUCUGACUCAGAGUCACCAGCCCCUGCUGUGGACGCCUCAUGCCUCCUUCUGAGGCAGGUGGCUCGUUCAAGGCCCAGUUCCUGAGGCUACCUCCCUGUAAGCCCUUGAUGAAGCCCUGGGGGGGGGGGGGUUCCAGGCUCUCUCUGUCUUGUUUUCUGAAUGACUG